RNAcentral lists this small RNA (129 nucleotides) under Hungatella effluvii. RNAcentral's name for it is "Clostridiales-1 RNA". The record is from RNAcentral. Lineage: Bacteria; Bacillati; Bacillota; Clostridia; Lachnospirales; Lachnospiraceae.
AGCAGUGCGAAAAAAGACAUAGACAAAUUUACGUUGUGCUUGCACAAAAGUAAAUUUGUCUAUGUCUUUUUUCAUAGGGCGAACGCCCGUCAGCGAGAUGGAGCGAAGCGGAAUCGAGCGGCCACUGCG